Molecule: ribosomal RNA, 1959 nt
Filed under: Triticum aestivum (bread wheat)
Lineage: Eukaryota; Viridiplantae; Streptophyta; Magnoliopsida; Poales; Poaceae
Description: partial small subunit ribosomal RNA
Source: RNAcentral
AUGGCACUCCAACGACCUCCACUGUUGCUCCUUUGCUUCCAUCUGCUGGCUGCAUUACACACAACCUCCUAUGCGGCCUUGAGCUCACACCUGCCGCAAGCCAUGGACUGUUCAACGUCCGGGAACUACACCUCUACCAGUGCCUACGCCGCCAACCUGAACAAAUUCCUUGCUUCCCUCCCGGAGAAGACUAUCUUCAAGAACGGUGGCUUCAUCAACGACACGGUCGGGGAGGGCACGGGCACUGUGUACGGCCUCGCAAUGUGCUCCGCUGACUACUCGCGCUCUGACUGCGGUGACUGCCUCGCGGCCGCUGCCAGCAGCAACGCUAAUGGUCUGCCGAACCGCUGCCCUGGGAGCACCACUGUGCUCGCCUGGUUCGACCCGUGCCUCGUCCGCUACUCUGACACCAACUUCUUUGGCACCGCUCAGACAGGUGAAAUCUACACGCUGAAUGGUCCAAGAGCCAUCUGGGAGCCGCUGCAGUACCGUAACGACGUAGUCAGAAACUUGAACGAGUCGAUAGCGGCCGCAGUGGCCUCGUCGCAGCGAUUCGCGGCAUCGUCGACGGAUCCAUACACGUUGGUUCAGUGCACGUGGGACCUGCCGCCGGACCAGUGCAAGCAGUGCCUGGACGUGCUGACGGCCAAUGCGUCGAAGGACUGGACAUCCAUGGCAGUAGAUGGUAAGCGUAGGAGCUACAGCUGUUCUGUUAGGUACGGCAACACAAGCUUCGUGGUUGUGCCGUUCGGUGGUGCCCCUACGCCGCAAUCUGUAGAUCAAGCGACCACAUCAGCUAAUCAGUCGAGCAGCGCCGCGGGGAAAGGUUCUCUGACAGCUGGCGUGGUGGGUUCUGUAGUUGGCCUAAUUUUGUUGGCUUGUGCAUGUUUGAUUUGGUAUCGACGGAAUGGCACAGCAGGGAAUGAACGAAAGUUUUUUCGUUUGCAUAAGACACAGACGGACACGCAAACGCUAGCACACCCAAAUGCUCACAAAUUCACUUACCAACAAUUGGUGGGUGCAACCCGUGACUUCGCAGACACGCGAAGGCUUGGACAGGGUGCCUUUGGUGUUGUCUAUAAAGGUGCAGUGAUGGUGCAAGACAAAGAGGUGGACGUGGCUAUAAAAACGGCACUUGUUGUGUCAGAUGAAGCUAGGGCUGCCUUUAAGAACGAGGUUGAGAUUAUGAGCCCGCUGAACCAUUCCAACAUUAUACGUCUUGUGGGUUCGUGCGACGAAGAGGACAAUCUCUUGCUUGUUUACGAACUAGUGGAGGAUCGCAACCUUCAGGCUCGGCUUUAUGGCCGUGGUGCUCGUGUGGACGCAGAACUAACCGGUGUAAGGGCUCGGGGUUCAAGCCUUGAUCUAGAUUGGCGGAAAAGGUAUAACAUACUGCUUGGAAUAACCUGGGGUCUUGAAUACCUCCAUGCUAAAUGCGCUAAAUGUGUCCUGCAUAGGGACAUCAAGCCAGGCAAUGUGAUGCUGGAUAGGGACUCCAAUGCUAAACUGUGUGACUUCGGGCUGGUGACGCAACUCACCCACGCAAUAACCUCACGCUCGACGAACAACAUCAUUGGAACACAAGUCUACAUGGACCCAGCAUACCGGAACACCGGGAAGAUAACUAAGGAAUCUGAUGUGUACAGCUUCGGUGUGCUGUUGCUUGAGGUUGUAUGUGGCGAGGAGCCAGUCCUAAUUGACGGCGCUGGGAAAAACAGCCUCAUCGAGAAGGUCCGAGAAUGUGAGAAGAGAAAUGCAAUUCUCGAUGCAGCUGACCAACAACUAAGGGGCGAGUUUGAUGAGGAAAUCAAAGCAGCACUAUCGAUUGGGCUCUGUUGUGUCGAAACAAGACGUGGUGACCGUCCAACAAUCCAAAUUGUGUUGGGCCGGUUAUUAAGCCUGACCGGCAAAUUAGCUUCCAAUAACCGCCAUCCAAACGCAGUCUGUGAUGAGGUGUGA